UACGUAGGGUGCGAGCGUUGUCCGGAAUUAUUGGGCGUAAAGAGCUCGUAGGCGGUGUGUCGCGUCGGCCGUGAAAACCUGCAGCUUAACUGUGGGCUUGCGGUCGAUACGGGCAUCACUGGAGUUCGGCAGGGGAGACUGGAAUUCCUGGUGUAGCGGUGAAAUACGCAGAUAUCAGGAGGAACACCGGUGGCGAAGGCGGGUCUCUGGGCCGAUACUGACGCUGAGGAGCGAAAGCGUGGGGAGCGAACAGG
This 254-nucleotide ribosomal RNA is filed under the name uncultured bacterium. Its description in RNAcentral is "partial 16S ribosomal RNA". It matches the Rfam family "Bacterial small subunit ribosomal RNA", at positions 524 to 776 of the family's 1533-position model. The record is from RNAcentral.